UUAUUCUUGAUGUUUUUCUUUUCUUUUUCUUGACCUUAUGAGAAAAUUUGAAAAAAGGGAGAGGGCGGGAGGUGUGCGUGCUUGUGAUACAAAUGCCAAAAUUAAAGUUAAU
RNAcentral lists this non-coding RNA (112 nucleotides) under Stygamoeba regulata. The record is from RNAcentral. Lineage: Eukaryota; Discosea; Stygamoebida.